UUUUAAAGAAUGUGACAAGCCCAAGCCUUCACCAACUCCAUACUACUACAAAUCACCUCCACCUCCCUCACCUGUUUACAAGUACAACUCUCCACCUCCACCAGUCCAUUAUUAUUCACCACCAUAUUACUACAAAUCACCUCCUCCUCCAGUAAAAUCGCCACCAACACCUUACUACUACAAAUCACCUCCACCUCCCUCACCAGUUUACAAGUACAACUCACCACCUCCACCGGUCCAUUAUUACUCUCCUCCAUAUUCCUAUAAGUCGCCUCCACCUCCCUCACCAGUUUACAAAUACAACUCCCCACCUCCACCAGUCCACCAUUAUGAUCCUCCAUAUUACUACAAGUCACCUCCACCUCCCUCACCAGUUUACAAGUACAACUCCCCACCUCCACCAGUCCAUUAUUAUUCACCUCCAUAUUACUACAAAUCCCCACCUCCUCCUGUGAAAUCCCCACCACCCCCUUACUACUAUAAAUCACCUCCACCUCCCUCACCAGUUUACAAAUACAACUCACCACCUCCACCGGUUUACAAGUACAACUCACCACCUCCACCAGUCCACCAUUAUGAUCCUCCAUAUAACUACAAGUCACCUCCACCUCCUUCACCUGUUUACAAGUACAACUCCCCACCUCCACCAGUCCAUUAUUAUUCACCUCCAUAUUACUACAAAUCACNNN
Molecule: long non-coding RNA, 689 nt
Filed under: Trifolium pratense (red clover)
Lineage: Eukaryota; Viridiplantae; Streptophyta; Magnoliopsida; Fabales; Fabaceae
Description: long non-coding RNA (TPRA_LNC003870)
Source: RNAcentral